GAUGAACGCUGGCGGCGUGCUUAACACAUGCAAGUCGAACGGAAAGGCUCCUGCUUGCAGGGGUACUCGAGUGGCGAACGGGUGAGUAACACGUGGGUGAUCUGCCCUGCACUUCGGGAUAAGCCUGGGAAACUGGGUCUAAUACCGGAUAGGACGAUGGUUUGGAUGCCAUUGUGGAAAGUUUUUCGGUGUGGGAUGAGCUCGCGGCCUAUCAGCUUGUUGGUGGGGUAAUGGCCUACCAAGGCGUCGACGGGUAGCCGGCCUGAGAGGGUGUACGGCCACAUUGGGACUGAGAUACGGCACAGACUCCUACGGGAGGCAGCAGUGGGGAAUAUUGCACAAUGGGCGCAAGCCUGAUGCAGCGACGCCGCGUGGGGGAUGCCGGCCUUCGGGUUGUAAACUCCUUUCGCUAGGGACGAAGCGCAAGUGACGGUACCUGGAGAAGAAGCACCGGCUAACUACG
RNAcentral lists this ribosomal RNA (463 nucleotides) under uncultured bacterium. RNAcentral describes it as "partial 16S ribosomal RNA". It matches the Rfam family "Bacterial small subunit ribosomal RNA", at positions 28 to 505 of the family's 1533-position model. The record is from RNAcentral.